Molecule: transfer RNA, 82 nt
Filed under: Paramuricea clavata
Lineage: Eukaryota; Metazoa; Cnidaria; Anthozoa; Malacalcyonacea; Plexauridae
Rfam family: tRNA
About the family: Transfer RNA (tRNA) molecules are approximately 80 nucleotides in length. Their secondary structure includes four short double-helical elements and three loops (D, anti-codon, and T loops).
Source: Rfam by way of RNAcentral
GUAGUCGUGGCCGAGUGUUUAAGGAGACAGACUCGAAAUCUGUUGGGAUAUUCCCGCGCAGGAUCAAAUCCUGCCGACUACA